RNAcentral lists this long non-coding RNA (237 nucleotides) under Nicotiana benthamiana. RNAcentral describes it as "long non-coding RNA (NBEN_LNC012436)". Lineage: Eukaryota; Viridiplantae; Streptophyta; Magnoliopsida; Solanales; Solanaceae. The record is from RNAcentral.
AGGUACACACUCCGUCACAAGAUAUCUUCAAGAUGUGAUGAAUAAUGUACGAUGUUUCUUUGGAAGGGAUAAUAGUAGAUAAGAUGAAAACAAAAGUGACAUAUAUGAGUUGUCUAGUACAUUUUUGUUUCAUUUCUUACGGUUCCAUUAUGUUGAACAUGUGUUAAACAUGUUAGGGUCUGUUUGGUAGAAUGCAUAAGAAGAAUAAUUAAUAUGGUGUAUUAAUAAUAUUGAGAC